Octopus sinensis (East Asian common octopus) is the source of this 241-nucleotide long non-coding RNA. RefSeq lists it as uncharacterized. Lineage: Eukaryota; Metazoa; Mollusca; Cephalopoda; Octopoda; Octopodidae. The transcript has 3 exons. The record is from RefSeq and is a predicted model, not a curated record.
UCCUUACACAAAUCAUCUAAAGUGGCCACUGUUUUAACCAUGGUUGCUUGCAAAUGGUAAGCACUGCAGGAGAGGGUCUCGUUUUAUAAGCUGUCGUCGAUGUUGUUCUUGCGGUCGAAGGUGUUACCUUUGAGAGGGCGCUAGAAAUAGCAGCUUCCUCCGUCUUAAAAUGAAAAUCAAUGUAAAACGUUGUCCUGGAUGCACUGUUCCAAGGAAAAUGACAGAAUGGUCACGAGUGAAC